UACGUAGGGCGCAAGCGUUGUCCGGAAUUAUUGGGCGUAAAGAGCUCGUAGGCGGUUUGUCGCGUCGGCCGUGAAAUCUCCACGCUUAACGUGGAGCGUGCGGUCGAUACGGGCAGACUUGAGUUCGGUAGGGGAGACUGGAAUUCCUGGUGUAGCGGUGAAAUGCGCAGAUAUCAGGAGGAACACCGGUGGCGAAGGCGGCAUCCUGGACCGAGAUCGACGCUGAGGCGCGAAAGCUAGGGGAGCAAACGGG
RNAcentral lists this ribosomal RNA (253 nucleotides) under uncultured bacterium. Its description in RNAcentral is "partial 16S ribosomal RNA". It matches the Rfam family "Bacterial small subunit ribosomal RNA", at positions 524 to 776 of the family's 1533-position model. The record is from RNAcentral.